This is a long non-coding RNA of Musa acuminata AAA Group (dessert banana), 1879 nucleotides long. RefSeq lists it as uncharacterized. The transcript has 4 exons. The record is from RefSeq and is a predicted model, not a curated record. NCBI's taxonomy places the organism in Eukaryota, Viridiplantae, Streptophyta, Magnoliopsida, Zingiberales, Musaceae.
CGCCAUGGUAGCUCCUCCCUUCGGCGCGCCCGCCCCGGAGUCGGCCUCCUCUUGUGGCCGUAAGCGCAUUUCUAAUCUUCAUGUGUACCUGGGGCUUGCUUAAUUAUCUUAAUCAAAGCAGAGUUUUUUUAAUCUAUUCCGACACUCAGAUUAGAAGUCUCAAGAAGCUGAUGCCUUGUGACAUAUAAUGUGAUGAAUUGGAUGCGUAGGUGCAUUGAUGCAUGGAAGUUGUUUCCAUAGGCCUUUAACAAAUUAACUUGUGGUUAGUCCUAAAGCAGUAUAUGGUAUGCUGUGAAUUGUCAGUGGCCUUGGGGCAUCGACAAUUUGAUAUCAUUUUUUGAUGUGAUUUUGACACGUACCAUUCUUAUCCAAACUAAAGGGCAUACAAGAACCUCUUGGAAGGAAAGACCCCGUAAGGGGAUAAUGACUUCACUCAUGCUUAAGUUGCAUGUCACUGUUUCACACUUUUCUUUAGGAAUGUGUCGUACGUCAUCAAGGUCAAAGGUACUUGCUGUUCCUAAAAGCAAACUAAGAUCCGGUAAGUCCUGAUGUACCUUGAAGGAACCCAUGAGGAACACUGAAGGCCUUUUCUACAAAACUAGGAAUGCGGAUUUACUUUUGGUGUAACUGUCAGUGGUUUUUUCAGUACCUUCUAUCAUUUAUUAUUUGUCUAUAGAAUUCAUCACAGACCACAAAUAAAGUCUCUUCGGAUACUUUUCUUUCUAAUCAGUCCAAUUCAUCAUAUGUUGCACUUGGUGAUGGCUAUAAUCUUGAUCAUUAUAACCGCUCAUCAUUUUUACAUCACAGCAGAAGUGAAAGAUGAAAACCUGUUGGACUACUACUUGCAAAAUAGCAUUUUGACAAAGUUGAUGAAGCGUUGUUCACAUUGCUGGAUGGUACGUGCACAUCACAACAAGAGUAGCAUGAAAACCUGUUGGACUACCUGCAAAGCACCAUUUUAGCACACUCGAUAAUGUCAUGAUUUAAAAUAUCAGUUGUACUGACAUGUUCCUGUUGGUAGUUACCAGUCUGAUCGAGCAUAGGGAAAAAAAGGAAACAAGGAUAAGUAUCUUCUUGGCAAUGAGGAGUGGGAAAAAGUUUCAUGGCUUGCUGUCAGGACUGCCCUUACAACUGGAACUCUUGUGGAUGCUGAACCAACGAAUCAAACCACUUCAUUACACCUCCCCUUUUCUGUCUCACCCAACAUGGGUGACUCCUGCAUCUAAAACCAUUCAUGUUUGCUAACAAAGCCAACAUCACUUCUUACAUGCUCAUGACCAUCCCUCUCAUUUUCUUCCCCUCCUAGUCCAUGCUGUAUUCCUCUCUCUCCUCUUUCAUUCAUGAAGCGCUUCAUUAGAGACCAAUCGAUGGAUAGGUUCAUCAUCCUCCCGUUCUAUUGUUCCUUUUGGUUUGUAUUGUGAAACCCUGUAAGCCUAAUCAUCGCCCUCGGUGUGAUAGUUGUGUUGAAGGUGGAGAUGGUGAGAUGCAAUCCACCGGAAAGCUCAAGAACUCAUUCACUGCAGGGUUUGAGAAGCUGAUCAAGAGCUUGUCCCAGUAUUUUGUGCUUUACCAGGGAGAGGACAAAGAGGUGGGGAUGGAGAUUGGAUUUCUCACUGAUGUGGAGCAUGCUGCUCCUAUAGGCCGUGAAGGAUUCGACUCUCCAGAGUUCCUUUCCUUUUCAUUGAAGCAGUUUGAGCUGGCCAUGGUAGCACAUGUUGGUGCCUCUCCACCUCAUGGUCCCCAUGAGGUGCUUCUCACUUGAACACCUUCUUGGGUUCUUGUGUUUCUCGCAGUCUGUUGCUUGUGGUGAUAGAGAGGGGAAGCAUGUGAACUUGUAUAGCUUGCUGUGACAUGAGAAUCUAUCGACAUUUUCUGGUUC